GGAGGUGGCCUCACCCCUGCCUCUCCCCUCCAGCCGUUCUCAUUCCCUCUGAAAGCCCAGGAGCAGCAUUACUGAGCUCUGUGGGGUUUAGAGCAGGGUAGGAUUUUUUGCUAUUUAAGAACAGACCUUAAAUGAGGAAAUGCAGUGCAGUCCAUGGAUAGUGCACUGGCCUGGGAGCCAGGAGACCUAGGCUCUGUUCCCAGCUCUGCCCCUGAUGAGCAUGUGGAAGUAAUGCUUUCUACCAUCUCCAAUGGGCUAACAGACUCAUUCCGUCCUGGCGCACAAUGAUCUGACCUCAGCUGUUCUGGCUUUUGUCACCUCUCAGCUGGGCUACAAUAAUGUGAUGUAGCUGGGCAUGAAGCCUUCAGCUCCCAGGAAACUCCAACUAGUAUAGAAGAUUGCAGUGCAUCACCUCAGCAACACAGGCAACUGUGAGCCCGUCAGAACUGUCCCCUGCUCUCUACCCCGGCUUCUCAGAGAAUAUCAAGUUGAAGGUCUCAGAACUUAUCUUCAAAGUGUUCCAUGGCCUGUGUCCAGGAUAUCUAAAAGACAAUCUAAAGUUACAGGAUGAAGACCACGGUUGAUAACUUUGCUUCUCUGGCACAAUGGAAUUUCUACCACAAGGGUAUUGAAAUGGCACCCGUAUCUCUCACCUGGAGUGACUGCAAAUUAAUUCUUGGCACCAGAUGACGUCAGUGUAGCAGUGAAGUUCCAGUUUGAUUCCAAGACAGCACAAAAUGUAGGAACUGCACAUUGUGAAGCACCGCAUCUGGGUCCGAGAAACAAGCACUGACUGGUGGGAUCGCAUCGUAAUGCAGGAUUGGGAUGAUGAAUCAUGGCUGCAGGACUUUCGGAUGCACAAGGCCACAUUCCUGGAUCUGUGUGCAGAACUCGCCCCAGCCCUCCAGCAUUAGAACACCAAAGCGAGAGCUGUGCUGACAGUGGAGAAGUGAGUGGUGAUUGCACUGUGGAAACUUCAGUAGCAAUCCGCUGUCGCGUCAGUGGGAAAUCAUUCUGGACUUGGGAAAUGCUCUGUGGGGGCCGUUGUCAUAUAAGUGUGCAUAUUGUGAAACAUCUGAUUGCAGCGGGCAAAAGGUGCUGGGAGGGAGAGGGAGAAGUUGAUCGUCAAGGCUGCUGGCAGAUGGGAGGCACCUGGCUUACGGUGGGUUCUCAGCAUCCACUAAUUUUUUUCCAUGGGUGCUCCAGCCCUGAAGCACCCACAGAGUCAGUGCCUAUGGUGGAGCAAUAGAUGGCAUUCGUAUCCCUAUUUUGGCACCAGGCCACCUUGCCACAAAGUACAUGCAAGCACUGGUGGAUCACGGGAGAUGCUUCACUAACAUCAGCGUUGGCUGGUCGGGGAAAGUGCAUGACACUCACAUCUUUAAGAACACAGGACUGGUCAGAAAGUGACAAGCAGGGAGUUUCUUUCCCAACUAAUGGAUUACCAUUGGUGAUGUUGAUAUCCCAGUAGUGAUCCUGGGGGAUCCAGCUGAUCCCUUGCUCUCCUGGUUCAUGAAACUGUACAUCAACCACCUUGACAGC
Gopherus flavomarginatus (Mexican gopher tortoise) is the source of this 1542-nucleotide long non-coding RNA. RefSeq lists it as uncharacterized. Lineage: Eukaryota; Metazoa; Chordata; Testudines; Testudinidae. The transcript is spliced from 3 exons. The record is from RefSeq and is a predicted model, not a curated record.